Molecule: transfer RNA, 72 nt
Filed under: Sus scrofa (pig)
Lineage: Eukaryota; Metazoa; Chordata; Mammalia; Artiodactyla; Suidae
Rfam family: tRNA
About the family: Transfer RNA (tRNA) molecules are approximately 80 nucleotides in length. Their secondary structure includes four short double-helical elements and three loops (D, anti-codon, and T loops).
Source: Rfam by way of RNAcentral
UCCCUGGUGGACCAGUGGUUAGGAUACAGCACUUCCACUGCUGCAGCCUGGGUUCAAUCCCUGGUCUCAGAA